UGUGAAGGACUUUACGGAGGGAAAACACAAUGACUGAGUGGCGGACGGGUGAGUAACGCGUAGGGAACCUGGCCCUUACAGGGGGAUAACAGAUGGAAACAACUGCUAAUACCGCAUAAGCGCCCAGCCUCGCAUGAGGCAGAGUGAAAAACUAAGGUGGUAAGGGAUGGCCCUGCGUCCGAUUAGCUAGUUGGUAUGGUAACGGCAUACCAAGGCGACGAUCGGUAGCCGGCCUGAGAGGGUGGACGGCCACAUUGGGACUGAGACACGGCCCAAACUCCUACGGGAGGCAGCAGUGGGGGAUAUUGCACAAUGGGGGAAACCCUGAUGCAGCGACACCGCGUGGGUGAAGAAGCGCUUCGGCGUGUAAAGCCCUAUCAGUGGGGAAGAAAGAGGACGGUACCCAAAGAAGAAGCACCGGCUAAUACGUGCCAGCAGCCGCGGUAAUACGUAUGGUGCAAGCGUUAUCCGGAAUGACUGGGUGUAAAGGGAGCGUAGACGGUUGUACAAGUCUGAUGUGAAAGCCCACGGCUCAACUGUGGGAGUGCAUUGGAAACUGUAGAACUAGAGUAUCGGAGAGGCAAGUGGAAUUCCUAGUGUAGCGGUGAAAUGCGUAGAUAUUAGGAGGAACACCAGUGGCGAAGGCGGCUUGCUGGACGAAAACUGACGUUGAGGCUCGAAAGCGUGGGGAGCAAACAGGAUUAGAUACCCUGGUAGUCCACGCUGUAAACGAUGAAUACUAGGUGUUGGGGCCCGAAGGGCGUCGGUGCCGUCGCAAACGCAGUAAGUAUUCCACCUGGGGAGUACGUUCGCAAGAAUGAAACUCAAAGGAAUUGAC
Molecule: ribosomal RNA, 838 nt
Filed under: uncultured bacterium
Lineage: Bacteria
Description: bacterial SSU rRNA
Rfam family: Bacterial small subunit ribosomal RNA
Source: RNAcentral